Molecule: ribosomal RNA, 559 nt
Filed under: Salmonella enterica
Lineage: Bacteria; Pseudomonadati; Pseudomonadota; Gammaproteobacteria; Enterobacterales; Enterobacteriaceae
Description: partial 23S ribosomal RNA
Rfam family: Bacterial large subunit ribosomal RNA
Source: RNAcentral
AUAUUCUGUAGCAAGGUUAACCGUAUAGGGGAGCCGGAGGGAAACCGAGUCUUAACCGGGCGUUAAGUUGCAGGGUAUAGACCCGAAACCCGGUGAUCUAGCCAUGGGCAGGUUGAAGGUUGGGUAACACUAACUGGAGGACCGAACCGACUAAUGUUGAAAAAUUAGCGGAUGACCUGUGGCUGGGGGUGAAAGGCCAAUCAAACCGGGAGAUAGCUGGUUCUCCCCGAAAGCUAUUUAGGUAGCGCCUCGUGAAUUCAUCUCCGGGGGUAGAGCACUGUUUCGGCUAGGGGGCCAUCCCGGCUUACCAACCCGAUGCAAACUGCGAAUACCGGAGAAUGUUAUCACGGGAGACACACGGCGGGUGCUAACGUCCGUCGUGAAGAGGGAAACAACCCAGACCGCCAGCUAAGGUCCCAAAGUCAUGGUUAAGUGGGAAACGAUGUGGGAAGGCCCAGACAGCCAGGAUGUUGGCUUAGAAGCAGCCAUCAUUUAAAGAAAGCGUAAUAGCUCACUGGUCGAGUCGGCCUGCGCGGAAGAUGUAACGGGGCUAAACCAU